CCCACUCUCUAUCUUCUCUUACUCUCUCUCCGUAUCUCACUGGUUUUCUACACCCAACUCAAAAGCUCUUUUACAAGAUGUUCUCUCUCUCUGUCUCUCUCCGUCUGUCUGCCUGCCUACCUGUCUUUGUAUGUACCUGUCUGUCUGCCUUAGUUGCAAGUUUGUGUGCCUGCCUGUUUUGUCUGUGUUUGCCAUACUUAUCUGUCAAUAUGUCUGUCUACUUGCCUGUCUACCUCUAUCACAACAGCCACAUAGUAUGGCUUCAUCUUUAGAGGAAGACUACGAGGAUCAACUGGAAGAGCUUCUGAGACAAGGGCAAGCCCAGAACCGGCCAAGAAACAGAAAACAAAAAAAGCAACUGUUUCCAGGGUCCCUUGGAGAGAGAUGGACAGCAGAGGCACAGUAGUCACACAAACGUUCCAUGCAUCAUCUUCUACCGGACUGCAGAGCCUGCCGUGAGCUGGAGAACUUGCUAGAGACAAAGCCCUUCCUCUCUGUGGUUCAUGCCAAAGCUCGUGGAGUGUGAGAGCACUGGACCAGCGCAGUUGGCGUUUCACCCAUAUGAGUGCUACCCUGAGCAAAUGAUUCCGUGAGACCAAGCAAAAACUUCUGAAGGAAAAGGAGAGUGUUGAAGUUCUGAAGAACCUAAUGUCUGUGAAUGGUGGCCCGGUACAGCAGUGAGUCACUGAUGUCCAGGAGUGGGCCGGUGGUAGCUGGUCCACUGCAGGGCGUUGAGGUGCGGGAGGUCCCUCCGCACAUAUGUUCCAUCCUGGACUCUAGGCGUCGGGUGAGCGGCCUGCAGUACCUCGUGGAUUGGGAGGGAUACGGUCCGGAGGAGAGGUGCUGGGAGCCGGUGGGGGACAUCUUGGACCCAUCUCUGCUGAGUGAGUUCCACCGCCUCCAUCCAGAUCGCCAUGUGCCUCGCCCUCCGGGUCGUCCUCGAAGCCGGCGUCGGCGCACUGCGGGAGCCGCGCGACAAGGGGUGGCUCCUCUCCCUGUUCAAUAAUAAUAAUAAUAAUAUAAUAAUAUAUGCCAUUUAGCAGACGCUUUUAUCCAAAGUGACUUACAGUCAUGUGUGCAUACAUUCUACGUAUGGGUGGUCCCGGGGAUCGAACCCACUACCCUGGCGUUACAAGCGCCAUGCUCUACCAACUGAGCUACACAGGACCUGUUCACUCGGUGCUCUACUAGCUGCCACCGAUCCCUUUUCUUUUUUGUUUGGUUUAGUCUGUCUUGUUGUUCACCUGUGUAUAGUUUAGGUUAUUAGUGGGGUAUUUUAUCUCGCCCUACCCUCUUGGUUUUGUGCGGGAUUGUUUGUGUAGCUGUCAUUUGUUUGGGUUGUGUUUUGGUUUGUUCUGUUAAACAGGUGUUUUAUCGGGACUACGUUCCUGUUGUUUUGUGGCUACUGUUGUGGUCCUAUUCCUGUUCUUUGGACUUGUAAAUAAAACGCCCUUUCUUGCAAUUCGCUCACUCCUGCACCUGACUCCACACCCACCUCUCCUAGGGAGAGCGUGACA
Molecule: long non-coding RNA, 1517 nt
Organism: Oncorhynchus gorbuscha (pink salmon)
Lineage: Eukaryota; Metazoa; Chordata; Actinopteri; Salmoniformes; Salmonidae
Exons: 6
Source: RefSeq, a predicted model, not a curated record